This 421-nucleotide ribosomal RNA is filed under the name Pecten maximus. RNAcentral's name for it is "partial 12S ribosomal RNA". It matches the Rfam family "Bacterial small subunit ribosomal RNA", at positions 874 to 1419 of the family's 1533-position model. Lineage: Eukaryota; Metazoa; Mollusca; Bivalvia; Pectinida; Pectinidae. The record is from RNAcentral.
ACUUUGCUUUUCAGUGCAGCUGCUUGGGUACUACGAGCGAGUGCUUAAAACUCAAAGAACUUGGCGGCUUGUUAACUACCUAGGGGAAUAUGCGCCUUAAUCCGAUGAUCCCCGUCAUAUCUUACUGAGUCUUGAAAAAGUGCAGCUGGUGUAUUGCCGUUGUCAGCUUGUUGUUCGAGCAAAGAGAAACAGGCUUAAUGGAUCCCGGUGAUAAUCUUCACGGGAAUCCAUGAAUUCAGGUCGUAAUACUGCCUAUGGCUCAAGGGAGCGGGUGUUACAAUUCAUAUUUGGAAUUACGGAUCCUCAUUGUGGAAUCUUGGGGUGAAGGUGAACUUAGGAGUAAGGAGAGAUUAAUGUGCUUUCCUGAACAUGAAUCUAACUCGUGUACAAACUGCCCGUCGCUCUCGGCGAGAGCUGAGAU